This 806-nucleotide non-coding RNA is filed under the name Isognathotermes ugandensis. Lineage: Eukaryota; Metazoa; Arthropoda; Insecta; Blattodea; Termitidae. The record is from RNAcentral.
UAGAAGUUUUAUUCUUGCUUUUCCGUUCAAUUUAUUUUUGUUCUAUAUGUAAGUUUAUGCGUGAUUUCUUAUGAUUCUAGAUGGAUUGUUGGAGAUAAUUUUUUAUUCUCAUUAGUUAUGAUUGGUUGAUCAAAUAUUUUUGUAUCCAGCAAUAUAUUUUAGUUUCGGUUAAAUUUUGUGCCAGCAGCCGCGGUUAUACCUUGGAAGCGUUUGAAUGUGUUUGGCUUUGUAGUUAUAUUAUAUUAUAUGGUUGAUAUUGUUUUUUGUGGUUUUUAGGUGAAAUUUUUAUUUUUGUUGUUUAUCGCUUAUAAGUUUGGAAGCUGUGAAAUUCUUUUUAUAGACUAGGAUUAGAUACCCUAUUAUUUUGGAAUGUUAAUUUUUGUGCUUGAGUAGUAUUAGUUAUGUUCUUGAAACUUAAAGAAUUUGGCGGUAUCUCAUUCCAUUCAGAGGAAUCUGUCUCGUUAUCGAUAGUCCGCGUUGGACCUUACUUAGGUUGUUUUAUGGUUUGUAUACCGCCGUUUAUUGAUUAUCUUUUUAGGGUUAAGUGAUUUUCUUGUUUCUUUAUUUUGAUUUAUUUCAGGUCAAGGUGCAGCUUGUUUCUAAGUGUAUGAUGGAUUACAUUGUUAUUUGUUUUUGGAUUGUUGAUUUUAAUAUUGACAUGAAAUUGGAUUUGGUUGUAAUGGUUUGUAGAUUGUUUUUAUGAUAUUGGUUUUGGGAUAUGUACACAUCGCCCGUCGCUCUCGUUUAAUUAUUAAUGAGAUAAGUCGUAACAAAGUGGUUGUACCGGAAGGUGCAGCUGGAUUGAA